CAAGUGAAGUCGCGGAAACAACUUUCUUUCCAUCCAUUGGAUUGGUUAUAAGAGUGGAAAUACCGACAAAGAUUUAAUCUUUGGAUCUUUUCAACUGAGGACCUUUUGAAAGAACCUUUUGUUCUAUUCUAUUCCUCAAUUGUCCUCCAAACAUCUUUUAUAACAUUCACUUCUUCAAAUCUUCUCAUAAAGAGACGAGUGCUAGAAAUGGUCGGUACAACUAUUGAAGUUGGUCAUGUUUAUUCCUUAGCAGACAUUAUCAUAGCACAACCUUAUGUACGAGGCAAACAUUACUCAAGUAAUUUAAUCUUUGGAUCUUUUCAAUUGAGGACCUUUUGAAAGAACCUUUUGUUCUAUUUUAUUUCUCAAUUGUCCUCCAAACAUCUUUUCUAACAUUCACUUCUUCAAAUCUUCUCAUAAAGAGAAGAGUGCUAGAAAUGGUCGGUACAACUAUUGAAGUUGGUCAUGUUUAUUCCUUAGCAGACAUUGUCAUAGCCAAAAACUAGCACAACCUUAUGUACGAGGCAAAC
RNAcentral lists this long non-coding RNA (530 nucleotides) under Solanum tuberosum (potato). RNAcentral's name for it is "long non-coding RNA (STUB_LNC010836)". Lineage: Eukaryota; Viridiplantae; Streptophyta; Magnoliopsida; Solanales; Solanaceae. The record is from RNAcentral.